GAUGAACGCUAGCUACAGGCUUAACACAUGCAAGUCGAGGGGCAGCAUGAAAGGAACUUCGGUUCUUUUUGAUGGCGACCGGCGCACGGGUGCGUAACGCGUAUCGAACCUGCCUCAUACUCGGGGAUAGCCUUGCGAAAGUAAGAUUAAUACCCGGCGGUCUCGGACGGCCGCAUGACAGUCCGAGUGAGGAUUUAUCGCUCUGAGAUGGCCUCGCGUCUGAUUAGCUAGUUGGCGGGGUAACGGCCCACCAAGGCGACGAUCAGUAGCCGGACUGAGAGGUUGGCCGGCCACACUGGGACUGAGACACGGCCCAG
This 317-nucleotide ribosomal RNA is filed under the name uncultured bacterium. RNAcentral describes it as "bacterial SSU rRNA". It matches the Rfam family "Bacterial small subunit ribosomal RNA", at positions 28 to 334 of the family's 1533-position model. The record is from RNAcentral.